CCAUGUCUUGGCUAUUGUAAAUAAUGCUGCAAUAAACAUUGGGGUGCAUAGGACUUUGGGAAUUCCUGACUUCAAGCUCUUUGAAGAGAUACCCAGUAGUGGGAUGGCUGGGUCAUAUGGCAGUUCACCAUUCCCUUUCCUCUUAGAUUACUGACAACAAUCUUAUUGAGAAAAAAUGGAAUUAAGAUUAUUAUCAGUGUGCUCAUUAUAUUUUUUAAAAAUAAGUCUAUCAAAUCUUUGUCUAGGAUUAACUUUUAUUAAUUGAUUUGCAUUCAAGUGAUUAGGAUGAUUACAACUAAUUAUCCAGUCAACUCUUAAAAUUUUAAUAACAUCCCUCUCUUUGGGCAUGCUUGGAAAAUCUGUCCCUGAAUCAAUAUUACAAAAUAUCUACAUAAUUUUCACCACAGAACUUCUACAAAUAAUUAUUCAUUCCAUUUUGACUAUUACAGCUUAGCCUAAAGAAUUAAGUAAAUAUGUAUUACUUCACUCCUGCACACCCUUUAAACGCAGCUAACAGACACUGAAUAAACCGGCUCAUCCCCCGCGGGAUCAGGAGUUGCUUGCCCCGUAUGCUGUCGCCAGGCUGCAGCCGCCUGAGGGGACUCGUCCGGGGCCCCGCCCUCAGAGCUCACACCCGCCGUGCGCUCUCGCCCCGGGGCCGCCCCGCCGACCUCCCGCGCGGCUCUGCGCGCACAGGCCGGACGCUCGGAGCCGGCGCCGGGCCGCCCUGCUCGGCCUCCUGGGCGCAGCGGCGCCUCUGGACCGAGCACGCGCACCAGCGGCCUCCGCUCAGGCUCCGUGCCCGCGCACGCGCCCUCGCGUCGCGCUCCUGGCUGAGAGACCUGCGCUCGGGCUGGGCUCCGGGCGGUUCUCGCGUUGUCGUUCCACCGGGACUUCCGCGCUUCGGUGGCCUUUCGGACGAGCCGCCGCGCCCAGAGAUGUUCAGGUUGGAGCGACACUUCCCAGACGGCAGCGGUCACGCCAGCUCUUUGGCUUCCAUUCCGUUUUCGCGCGGUUCUCCCUCUUCGCAAGUGAUGUCAUUCUGACUGCAGUCACCACUGUCGGGUUGUGAUUAAACUCUGAUGACCUAUGAGAGCACCGUGAUGUCAGUUUUUCUGGAAUUGGAAUAUUGAGUACUUCCUGACCCAGUUCUAUGUCUUUUCUAACCUGUUCAACCUCACCUGACCCCAAGGCCAUGAGGUAAGGUGUGGCUGGAUGGCGUGGCUCCUUUUCAGUCCUGGAAGGUGUGAAUGGAGGGAGGAGGACCUGUUCAGGGCAGCGCUGACCAGCCUAGCCUCACGUGCAGAGCUGCUUCCCCAAAGUGGAGGACAGGCCAGAAAACUGUCUGCUGAAUUGUUUGGGUUUCCUGGGGGUUAGGGAAAGAGUUUGGGUUUAUCUACAAUCCUUCUAAUCUUUUCAUAUUGUUGUGUUUGUUUGGUUAGCGGUAUUAUGCAAAAUGGAAUGGAGGAGCCAAAUGUUACUUCCUUUCAUGGUAACCCUGAAUUAUGCUUGCUCUCAUGGUCUCUUUUUCCUUACCCAGCUCUAGAUUCCCUUUGUUCUUUCCCAGUAGAGGAAUCCCAAGGAGGACUGAUCAGUUUUGGCAGGUGCAAAACCAUGGUAUGUGUAAGUUAGUGUUUCCUUCUCGUUAAAAUAGUGAGACGUAAAUGUUUUCAUUAAUUGUUCUGAAGAGUCCUACCCAAAGAACCCCAUGUGAUUAUGUGCUUCCCAGUUCCUCCCAUUCCAGUGAACUGAACAAUGGUUCCAAAUAACCUAGUCCUCCUUAUGUGGCCCAGUCUUUUCCAGCCAGUGUUUAUGCAUUCACUGACCAGGUUAUUCUCUCCUACGUGCUCAACUUAGUCAUAUUAAGAGCUAUAAUGGAGGAAUGAAGAAAUUAAGUCCUGUCAAGAAAUGAUUUGAGCUUCCCGUGUCAGGACUGUAGUUGGAUGAGAGAUGGAGAUCCCAUCUGGCCAAGCAGGGAAAGACCCUGACAUUCUCACAGACAUGAGUUUUCUAGAUACACAUGAUAAAACCCAGCAAUGAACGGUCUCUGGAGGCUAAGAUCCAAUGCACUGUGAGGUUUUUGGAAUUGAAUAGCAAUAUGAUUUAGGACUUGAAAAUAUAUGGAUCAUGGUCCUUUGUAAGGGAUUCCUGAAUGAGAAAUAUGACUAUUUUAUUGCUGACUGGGUUGCGAUGAAAUUGAAUGACUUUGAUAUAAUUCUGGAUCAUCCUACAUUAGUAUCCUCUAACUCAUGAACCAGAAAAGUUCUCAGUGAGGGAUUGUUAGUGUCCAUAAAAGAGAAUAAAAUCAUAAGUCUUAAAUUAACAGAGAGCAAGAAUAGAAAAGACCUUAGAUAUGUUGUCUAACAAUGUAUAUAAUCAUAAUCAUCUAAACAUGUUUAAUUCUAUUAUAACCAUAAAUUAGAGUGCUAUGCAGCCAUUCAAAAUAUUAGUCAAAAUAAGGAAACUACAUAUGAUAGCAUUUAACAAAGAAUUUCAGUAUUUAAGAUAUUCUUUCGUUCUUUUUUAUAUGCUGUUUUUCUAUCUGUUAUGACAAACUCUAAGUUUCAAUUGGAGAAUUUUAUCCUUUUACAUUUAACGUAAUUAUUGACAGUUAGUUUAGGUCAUCCAUUUUACUGUAUGUUUUCUUUUUUUCCAUUUGGCUUUUGUUCCCCUUUCUCUUUUUUUCUUCUUUGGGGUUAAUAAUAAUUAUUUAAAAUUCCAUUUUAACUUGAUUUUCUAUAUGUGC
Molecule: long non-coding RNA, 2746 nt
Filed under: Equus caballus (horse)
Lineage: Eukaryota; Metazoa; Chordata; Mammalia; Perissodactyla; Equidae
Description: lncRNA (ENSECAG00000030526.3)
Source: RNAcentral